RNAcentral lists this ribosomal RNA (280 nucleotides) under uncultured bacterium. RNAcentral describes it as "partial 16S ribosomal RNA". It matches the Rfam family "Bacterial small subunit ribosomal RNA", at positions 333 to 605 of the family's 1533-position model. The record is from RNAcentral.
UGGCUCCUACGGGGGGCAGCAGCAGGGAAUUUUCGUCAAUGGGCGCAAGCCUGAACGAGCGAUGCCGCGUGAGUGAAGAAGGCCUUCGGGUCGUAAAGCUCUGUUGCGGGGGAAAAAAGGCAGCAUCAGGAAAUGGGUGCUGACUGAUGGUGCCCCGCCAGAAAGUCACGGCUAGCUACGUGCCAGCAGCCGCGGUAAUACGUAGGUGGCGAGCGUUAUCCGGAAUGAUUGGGCGUAAAGGGUGCGCAGGCGGUCCUGCGUGUCUGGAGUGAAACGCAUG